Triticum dicoccoides is the source of this 2150-nucleotide long non-coding RNA. RefSeq lists it as uncharacterized. The transcript is spliced from 10 exons. The record is from RefSeq and is a predicted model, not a curated record. Lineage: Eukaryota; Viridiplantae; Streptophyta; Magnoliopsida; Poales; Poaceae.
CAUGCCCGCACCCCGUCCCUCCCGAUCCCUCUCCUCUUGCGACCUAGGGUCAAUCCUUGUGCCGCCACCUUGAGCGAGACGACCGCCUGUGUGCAAGGAAGAUGUGAAGGGGCAGUACCCAGUACUGCGCUCGCAACCCUAACGGAGCCGCCAGUGACAGACGCCCCAUGGCAGGCGACGACAACGACGUGGCGAAGAACUUGGUGGCGGUAUAGGCGAGGAUGAGCCGGGAGGAGUCUCGGUGGUGGUGGGAAAGAACGGCGGAGGGUAAGAUAGACCCUCUCUUUAACGGCGUACCUUCAGCCUCCAUACCCAGUCUCAUUUCUCCUCGCCCCUGAUUCGCCGAUGAGGCCACCACGCAGCGGCGCUGCAGCCUACAGUUCGUACCGUGAUCAUCCUCCUCAUCUUGAUCCAAAGGCAAGGUUUAGUUUGAAGCCCAACCGUAGAGAAGAUUAAUGAGACACUUUGGGAUGAUAAAAUUGCAAGGAACCAUGCAGGCCACAUAAGAGCAUGGAUUCCACAUUUUCAGAACAACAUAUCAAGUAUUAGUGUUACUACUGAAUGGAGACAGCUUUUUUGGUAGGGUUCAUUCUCCAAGCUGGGCCUUUUGCCACGGGAAAGUCUGGUUGUCGUGAAGCAUGAAGUCAUCGUUGCACCACACUCAAAAUUGAAAACUUUUGGCAUAAGACUUGACAAGGGAACCUACCCUGAGUCUUUGCUAAGAUCUUAUUCAACUUGUGAGAGUUGUGCCCGUGCCGGAAACAAAUUGGAUCGUGGGCGGAGCACAUAAUUGCGAAGUGGAGCUGCUCAGAUCGCAGUUGUUCUAGACUGGUCGUCCAAAUAUUGCAGGAAAAGAAUAGGUCAUGGCGAUGGCGGUGUCCGGUGUCACUUCCUCCAUUCUCUACAGUUUUGUGUAUCUCCCCUCCUUUUGUGCAUCCCCUAUUUUCUACUGCAAGUUACUUACUUGAUCGGAUCUCCAUGAUGUGGAACGAGAGAGGAAGAGAGGCUGAGCAUGAAAGCAUGCCAAGGCGAGUUGAACUACCACAGAACAAAGGCUUGCCAUUAGCCAGUGGCUUCCUCCUUAUCGCGCAUGCCCUUCUCAUUGUUACAGCUGCGUCUUUAUAUUUAGGAAACUUAUUGUCAAAAUGGACAGGCAUGGCAACGUGGUUAGAAGCUUCUCAACAAGGAGGAAUUCGAGCUACUUACUGCUUGGUUUCUUUCAUUCUUCCAGCUGAAUCUGCCGUCAUACAAUGGCUAACGGAUAGGUACAUGGUGCGUCACGAUGCUGACAAUUUAGGGGAACCCGAGUUUGUGUUCUUUGCUUCAGUUGUUGAACAAGCUAUUGGAAAGAGACUUUAAGUUAUCAUGCACGAUGCAUCAGACCGCCCAUUUGCUGUUCCUGCAGAGAUAUCAGCCUUGAUAUCCAAGAAAUUCACACUUCCCUUCACUCUCAAUGAGAAGGGCCUUCACUAUGGGCAACUCUCUUUCCAUGUGAACAGCACAUCAACAAAGACAUCUGUGCAAGCUAGCAAGGUAAACACUAUCAGUAACGACAAAGAACCCGAGGACAGGGACAUGGACAACAGUAAUGAAAGUGGUAAUGAAGGUCAUAUCUCUCCUACAGUUGAUUCAAGGGAACACAUAGCAUCAUUUCUGCCAAGGAAUAGGAAGCACCAUCUUUUGAAAUUGCUACUGUAAGCAAAAAUGAUUCACACACACUAGCAAGAAGCCAUCAAAAAGUACAGUAACUGAAGCCGACAAAUCAACUUCCACAAAGAAGAGGAUGCACUUAUCAUAAAAAGAGCUUCGAUCAGCGUAUUUCAAAAGCAAAUAGAGGAAUGGCGAACGUCUGCAUACGUCCAUCUUUUGAAGUUAUUUAGUUGCCCAUUAAUAAAUAUAUCUCUUGCGUGCGGAUGCUACUGCAUGAUCAGAUGAUCAACAACUUUUGCUACUGCAGGAUCAGAUGAUCAACAACUUUGUCUUCACCAGUUAACGUGUCUCGAUGGAUAAUCCUACCAAUGAACAGAAUCCAGGGACUGUUGAAGCAUGACAUAAGGCCCAGUCCAAGAUCAUACUUCUAGAUUAAUUCAAAAAGGCCAGUCCAAGAACGAAUUAAUAGCCCAAUAUCUUUAUCUUGUUUAAUCCUCCUG